RNAcentral lists this ribosomal RNA (441 nucleotides) under uncultured soil bacterium. RNAcentral's name for it is "bacterial SSU rRNA". It matches the Rfam family "Bacterial small subunit ribosomal RNA", at positions 56 to 486 of the family's 1533-position model. The record is from RNAcentral.
UGCAAGUCGAACGGCAGCACAGGAUAGCUUGCUAUCCGGGUGGCGAGUGGCGGACGGGUGAGUAACGCGUAGGAAUCUACCUUUUCGUGGGGGAUAACCCGGGGAAACUCGGGCUAAUACCGCAUACGCCCUACGGGGGAAAGCGGGGGACCUUCGGGCCUCGCGCGGAACGAUGAGCCUGCGUCCUAUCAGGUAGUUGGUGAGGUAAUGGCUCACCAAGCCGACGACGGGUAGCUGGUCUGAGAGGACGACCAGCCACACUGGGACUGAGACACGGCCCAGACUCCUACGGGAGGCAGCAGUGGGGAAUAUUGGACAAUGGGGGAAACCCUGAUCCAGCAAUACCGCGUGUGUGAAGAAGGCCUUCGGGUUGUAAAGCACUUUUAGCAGGAAAGAAAGGCCGUGCGCUAAUACCGCAUGGUUCUGACGUUACUUGCAGAA